RNAcentral lists this ribosomal RNA (433 nucleotides) under uncultured bacterium. Its description in RNAcentral is "partial 16S ribosomal RNA". It matches the Rfam family "Bacterial small subunit ribosomal RNA", at positions 29 to 507 of the family's 1533-position model. The record is from RNAcentral.
AACGAACGCUGGCGGCAGGCUUAACACAUGCAAGUCGAGCGGGCCCUUCGGGGUCAGCGGCAGACGGGUGAGUAACACGUGGGAACGUACCUUUUGGUUCGGAACAACUCCGGGAAACUGGAGCUAAUACCGGAUAAGCCCUUAGGGGGAAAGAUUUAUCGCCAAAAGAUCGGCCCGCGUCUGAUUAGCUAGUUGGUGGGGUAACGGCCCACCAAGGCGACGAUCAGUAGCUGGUCUGAGAGGAUGAUCAGCCACACUGGGACUGAGACACGGCCCAGACUCCUACGGGAAGCAGCAGUGGGGAAUAUUGGACAAUGGGCGCAAGCCUGAUCCAGCCAUGCCGCGUGAGUGAUGAAGGCCUUAGGGUUGUAAAGCUCUUUUGUCCGGGAAGAUAAUGACUGUACCGGAAGAAUAAGCCCCGGCUAACUUCGUG